This is a long non-coding RNA of Halichondria panicea, 1048 nucleotides long. RefSeq lists it as uncharacterized. The transcript has 2 exons. The record is from RefSeq and is a predicted model, not a curated record. Lineage: Eukaryota; Metazoa; Porifera; Demospongiae; Suberitida; Halichondriidae.
AAGGCAGAUGAUCUACAGAGACGCCUACCAGAACCCCAACAACGCGCUAUGGCCCUAGCACGUGAGAAAGGGGGCUCAAGCACACUUAAUACAAUACCUGUUGCAGAGCACGGAUUUUUCUUUGAUGCCAAAGCAGAUUUUCAUGACCACAUCAACCUUCGCUAUUGUUAACGCCCAUGGUCCGGGUUCUAGUCGACUAGAGGCUGUAUCUAGAAUCUUCUGAACAUGUCUGUACAAGGAGGAAAUUCUUUCCAAGAAAGUUACUUACUAACUUACUUACUAACUUACUUAGUCAGUCAGACGAAACGCGGUGAAAUAUGAAAAUAGCGCAAUUUUUCAAAUAUCAAUAGUAAUGCAUGAGAAUAUUCAUUGACUAUAAUUUCACACAUUUAGACAGAUAAAAGGCUAACUAAGCUAUCUGUCAACUCAGUUUCUUGCUGUGGCCCUUCCCUGCAGAAAUAGAGCAGUCUAAACACGAGUCAAAAUUUGUGCAAUAAUUGAAAACACACAACUGCACUGUCAAUCCUAUGUACAACCAUAGAUGUAGGAGAGAGGGAUUGGAAACAGAAGUAGAUUUCAAUGUACUUCACAUAUGACCUCGAUAAACAUCCGCGCCUCGCUUAAUGAGGGCUAAUCUAUUCCCCAGGAACUUCGCAGGUAACUGAGAUUAUUGCAAAUCUAGGUUGUCACUAGUAUUCUGUCAAGUUUUCCAGUAUCCAGUGCAACUGUGCUUUAUAUAGAUAGUGAAUAACCAUUAUUCAAGCUCUAUUUACCGUUGCAACUAUCUUCUUCAUUGAAUUUAGCAAUACCUCGCAAGCCAUGAGUACGCUGAAGAAAAGAAGACAGAAGAAUACCCCUCCUCUCUACACCCCUACACGUCACCGCCCUCGUAAAUGUUAUCGGCUGUUCCGGCUAUAUAUACACCCUUGUAUACCUCACCAGCUUCUCUCCAUCUAAGACUGUCUGAUUAGAGUGCUAAACUAAUCAUAAUUAUAGCUGUAAUAAUCAUUUUUAUCGUGUAAGUUUUUGUUAAUGUUGUUCGGUUUGA